AUUGAACGCUGGCGGCAGGCCUAACACAUGCAAGUCGAACGAGUGGCGGACGGGUGAGCAAUGUCUGGGAAAAUGCCUGAUGGAGGGGGUUAACUACUGGGAACGGUAGCUAAUACCGCAUACCAUCGGAUGUGCCCAGUUGGGAUUAGCUAGUGGGUUGGGUAAAGGCUAACCUAGGCGACGAUCCCUAGCUGGUCUGUGAGGAUGACCAGCCACACUGGAACUGAGACACGGUCCAGACGCCUACGGGAGGCAGCAGUGGGGAAGAUUGCACAAUGGGCGCAAGCCUGAUGCAGCCAUGCCGCUUGUAUGAAGAAGGCCUUCGGGUUGUAAAGUACUUUCAGCGGGGAGGCGUUACCCGCAGAAGAAGCACCGGCUAACUCCGUGCCAGCCGCCGCGGUAAUUC
This 406-nucleotide ribosomal RNA is filed under the name uncultured bacterium. Its description in RNAcentral is "partial 16S ribosomal RNA". It matches the Rfam family "Bacterial small subunit ribosomal RNA", at positions 30 to 526 of the family's 1533-position model. The record is from RNAcentral.